This 231-nucleotide ribosomal RNA is filed under the name uncultured bacterium. Its description in RNAcentral is "partial 16S ribosomal RNA". It matches the Rfam family "Bacterial small subunit ribosomal RNA", at positions 15 to 224 of the family's 1533-position model. The record is from RNAcentral.
GAUCAUGGCUCAGGACGAACGCUGGCGGCGUGCUUAACACAUGCAAGUCGAACGAAGUUGCUCUUUGGGAAGCCCUCGGGUGGAACUGUGAGUAUACUUAGUGGCGGACGGGUGAGUAACGCGUGAGCAAUCUGCCCUGCAAUGGGGGACAACAGUUGGAAACGACUGCUAAUACCGCAUAAGACCACGAAACCGCAUGGUUUAGAGGUAAAAGGAUUCAUUCGAUGCAGG